UUUGGUGACGAUAGCAAAGAGGUCACACCCGUUCCCAUGCCGAACACGGAAGUUAAGCUCUUUAGCGCCGAUGGUAGUUGGGGGUCUCCCCCUGUGAGAGUAGGACGUUGCCAAGC
RNAcentral lists this ribosomal RNA (116 nucleotides) under Bacillus carboniphilus. The record is from RNAcentral. Lineage: Bacteria; Bacillati; Bacillota; Bacilli; Caryophanales; Bacillaceae.